Molecule: ribosomal RNA, 279 nt
Filed under: uncultured bacterium
Lineage: Bacteria
Description: partial 16S ribosomal RNA
Rfam family: Bacterial small subunit ribosomal RNA
Source: RNAcentral
UGCCAGCCGCCGCGGUAAUACGGAGGGUGCAAGCGUUAUCCGGAAUCAUUGGGUUUAAAGGGUCCGCAGGCGGACGUAUAAGUCAGUGGUGAAAUCCUGCAGCUUAACUGCAGAACUGCCAUUGAUACUGUACGUCUUGAAUUCGGUCGAAGUGGGCGGAAUGUGUAGUGUAGCGGUGAAAUGCAUAGAUAUUACACAGAACACCAGUGGCGAAGGCGGCUCACUGGCUCGAUACUGACGCUGAGGUACGAAAGUGUGGGGAGCAAACAGGAUUAGAUA